GGGCUCACACAAGCGGUGGAGCAUGUGGAUCAAUUCGAAGCAACGCGAAGAACCUUACCUGGGUUUGACAUGCACGGAUGGUCUCGGGGAAACUCGAGUAAUCUGCCUUCGGGUGAAACGUGCACAGGUGCUGCAUGGCUGUCGUCAGCUCGUGCUGUGAAGUGUCGGGUUAAGUCCCUUAACGAGCGGAACCCUUAUCGUUAGUUGCCAGCGGGUCAAGCCGGGAACUCUAACGAGACUGCCGGCGUUAAGCCGGAGGAAGGCGGGGACGACGUCAAGUCAUCAUGGCCUUUAUGCCCAGGGUGUCACACGUGCUACAAUGGGGUGUACAGAGCGACGCAAAGCCGCAAGGUAGAGCAAAUCGCAGAAAACAUCCCUCAGUUCGGAUUGGGGUCUGCAACCCGACCUCAUGAAGCUGGAAUCGCUAGUAAUCGCGUAUCAGCCAUGACGCGGUGAAUAUGUUCCUGAGCCUU
RNAcentral lists this ribosomal RNA (473 nucleotides) under uncultured bacterium. RNAcentral describes it as "bacterial SSU rRNA". It matches the Rfam family "Bacterial small subunit ribosomal RNA", at positions 917 to 1382 of the family's 1533-position model. The record is from RNAcentral.